Molecule: ribosomal RNA, 460 nt
Filed under: uncultured bacterium
Lineage: Bacteria
Description: partial 16S ribosomal RNA
Rfam family: Bacterial small subunit ribosomal RNA
Source: RNAcentral
CCUACGGGAGGCAGCAGUGAGGAAUCUUGGUCAAUGGGCUUACGCCUGAACCAGCCAAGUCGCGUGAGUGAAGACUGCCCUAUGGGUUGUAAACCUCUUUUGUCAGGGAGCAACGCCGGCUACGUGUAGCCGGACUGAGAGUACCUGAAGACAAAGCAUCGGCUAACUCCGUGCCAGCCGCCGCGGUCAUACGGAGGAUGCGAGCGUUCUCCGUUUUUAUUGGGUUUAAAGGGUGCGUAGGCGGAAUGCCAAGUCAGCGGUAAAAUAGCGGGGCUCACCCUCGCUCCGCCGUUGAAACUGGGGUUCUUGAGUGGGCGAGAAGUAAGUGGAAUGCGGGGUGUAGCGGUGAAAUGCAUAGAUAUCACGCAGAACUCCGAUUGCGAAGGCAGCAUACCGGCGCCCAACUGACGCUGAAGCACGAAAGCGUGGGUAUCGAACAGGAUUAGAUACCCCAGUAGUC